RNAcentral lists this ribosomal RNA (253 nucleotides) under uncultured bacterium. RNAcentral describes it as "partial 16S ribosomal RNA". It matches the Rfam family "Bacterial small subunit ribosomal RNA", at positions 524 to 776 of the family's 1533-position model. The record is from RNAcentral.
UACGUAGGAUGCAAGCGUUAUCCGGAAUUAUUGGGCGUAAAGAGUGUGUAGGCGGCACGUUAAGUUAAAUGUUAAAUCUCAGGGCUCAACUCUGGGGCUGCAUUUAAUACUGGCGAGCUCGAGGUAUGGAGAGGUAAGCGGAAUUAGUAGUGUAGCGGUGAAAUGCGUAGAUAUUACUAAGAACACCAAUGGCGAAGGCAGCUUACUGGCCAUAUCCUGACACUGAGGCACGAAAGCGUGGGGAGCGAACAGG